ACGAACGCUGGCGGCGUGCUUAACACAUGCACGUCGCACGGAAAGGCCUCUUUCGGGGGGUACUCGAGUGGCGAACGGGUGAGUAACACGUGAGUAACCUGCCCUUGACUUUGGGAUAACUUCAGGAAACUGGGGCUAAUACCGGAUAGGAGCUCCUGCUGCAUGGUGGGGGUUGGAAAGUUUCGGCGGUUGGGGAUGGACUCGCGGCUUAUCAGCUUGUUGGUGGGGUAGUGGCUUACCAAGGCUUUGACGGGUAGCCGGCCUGAGAGGGUGACCGGCCACAUUGGGACUGAGAUACGGCCCAGACUCCUACGGGAGGCAGCAGUGGGGAAUAUUGCACAAUGGGUGGAAGCCCGAUGCAGCAACGCCGUGUGCGGGAUGACGGCCUUCGGGUUGUAAACCGCUUUCGCUCAUGACGAAGCUUUGUGUGACGGUAGUGGGUAAAGAAGCACCGGCUAACUACGUG
RNAcentral lists this ribosomal RNA (466 nucleotides) under uncultured bacterium. RNAcentral describes it as "partial 16S ribosomal RNA". It matches the Rfam family "Bacterial small subunit ribosomal RNA", at positions 29 to 507 of the family's 1533-position model. The record is from RNAcentral.